AACGCACGAGACCUGCGGACCUGCGGAGGGAUCAUUAGUGAACGCCCUCACGGGCUUAUAACUAUUCCAAACCUCUGUGAACCGUGCCCUUCGGGGCUAUUUUACAAACAUGGUGUAAUGAACGUCAUAUAUCAUAACAAAACAAAACUUUCACAACGGAUCUCU
This 165-nucleotide unclassified non-coding RNA is filed under the name soil metagenome. Its description in RNAcentral is "partial contains 5.8S ribosomal RNA, internal transcribed spacer 2, and large subunit ribosomal RNA". The record is from RNAcentral.